Long non-coding RNA from Drosophila navojoa, 1093 nucleotides. NCBI's taxonomy places the organism in Eukaryota, Metazoa, Arthropoda, Insecta, Diptera, Drosophilidae. The record is from RefSeq and is a predicted model, not a curated record.
UCGUAUCACACAAGUCUUUCGUUUCUAGCGCUCUGGAACUGGAGCCGGGAGCGUUAGCUGGGAAUUCCGUUGUGUGCUGCCGCUGCCGCUGCCGCUGCUGCUGCUGUUGCUGCUGCCGGCGUCGUUCGUUGCCAGUCACACUAAGAGCAACACCAACACCAACAGCAGUGCUCAGUGUGCGUAUGUGUGCGUGUUGCUUUCUGGUUUGGCAGCUGCUUCUUGGCACACACACACACACACACGCACAGACAUCAGCACACACGCACACAGAAGCGACGCGUCGCGCUUUUACAUUUGUAUAUGUAGGUCUACGUCCGAUUUUACUUUCACUUUUAAAGGUUUACGAACUUUUCUGUUUACAAGUCAACGCUGCUGCCGGCAGCCGACGCGUCGCAGCAGCAGCACCAGCAGCAGCGACGACGACGACGACGCGCAUUUCAAAUGCUUCUCACACACUCAGAGCUCAGGCACAGGCAGACAAUCAGACCGUUGGACGGAUGAUACAAAAGAGGCGAACAGGCGGACGUAUGGACAUACUGAUGGACGGACGGACGGACGGACGGAUGGACAGACGGGCAAAUACAAACAGAGAGCUUUGCGCUUACAUCGCGGAUUGAGAGUCGCCGUCGCACAGUGGCGCAGAUUGCUGUCAAUUCGGCACUCAACUGAAUUUGGCCGCAUUCGCGGCUGUUGCAUACCACUGUGCCGGCUCCUCAUUGGCAUUGGGUUGACUCAUGCCUUGGACGCAUGCGUUAUAUUAUUUAUUGUUGUUGUUAUUCGAUUUGCAGUUGCGGUUGCUCGUGUGCAUCGCAUAAGGAAGUCGCGUGUGCUCAACUUCCUUGACAUUGAAGCGGCAGCAACCGCAACGCCAGCAGCAGCAGCAGCAGCAGCAGCAACAACAACAACAACAAGGUUUAAGUGUAAAUGAACGGCAAGGAUUUUUGCUGCUGCCAAAAGCGAUUGCUGUGUUGCCUCGGAAGUGACAGCGACAGCGGCAGCAACAGCAACUACGCGUCGGCAGAGCUGCCAGCAACAUGUACUGGCAGGUAUGCUGACAUGUACGUGUGUGUGUGUGUGAGUGUGUGUAUGUGUG